RNAcentral lists this unclassified non-coding RNA (2441 nucleotides) under Hevea brasiliensis (rubber tree). The record is from RNAcentral. Lineage: Eukaryota; Viridiplantae; Streptophyta; Magnoliopsida; Malpighiales; Euphorbiaceae.
GUAUACUGACGUGGGUUUGCCUCCACAAAGGAUAAAUAUAGAACUGGACGGCCACACGUCCCCGCUAUCGGCAACUAAAAACAGUAUAUCUCAUAUCAUCGUCAUCCUCCUCAGUGACCCUCUUUGUUGUUUUGGAUAUAAAAGUACAAAGUUUCUUUCUUUGAUGAAAAGCUUAUCCAACCUCCCCUCAGCUUGCCCAUUUCCAUUUCUCUGUUUUUGUUCACUCCAUUCCAGAAAGCAAGAUUAAUAGUAAAAGAUUUAGAAAUUUAGAUUUUUUUUUUUGGUGAUGAUGGGUAGGUUUCAGGAGAGAUUUUCUUACUUUUUCAAUAACAGAUGGCUGGUGUUUGUGGCUGCAAUCUGGAUACAAUCGUGCGCCGGUGUUGGGUAUUUGUUUGGGAGUAUUUCGCCAGUUAUAAAGAGCUCGUUGAACUAUAAUCAGAGGCAGGUUGCUAGUUUGGGUGUGGCUAAGGAUCUUGGGGAUAGUGUUGGGUUCUUGGCUGGGAGUUUGUCUGAAAUCUUGCCUUUGUGGGGUGCUUUGCUGGUUGGUGCUUUGCAGAAUCUAGUUGGAUACGGUUGGGUUUGGCUUCUUGUUACUGGUCGAUCUCCUGUUUUGCCUUUGUGGGCUAUGUGCAUUCUUAUAUUUAUUGGGAACAAUGGUGAAACCUACUUCAAUACAGUUGCUCUGGUUUCUUGUGUACAAAACUUUCCCAAAAGCCGGGGUCCUGUGGUGGGAAUACUCAAAGGCUUUGCUGGUUUAAGUGGUGCAAUUUUGACCCAAAUAUAUACAAUGAUCCAUUCCCCUAAUCAUGCAUCUCUCAUAUUCAUGGUUGCAGUAGGGCCAGCAAUGGUAGUCAUUGCUCUAAUGUUCAUUGUAAGACCUGUUGGAGGUCACAGACAAGUUAGACCAUCUGAUGGCACAAGCUUUACAUUUGUAUAUAGUGUGUGCCUUCUAUUGGCUGCUUAUUUGAUGGGGGUCAUGCUUCUUGAAGAUCUAGUUGAUUUGAGCCACACUGUUAUCAUAAUUUUCACGGUGGUUUUGUUUGUUCUCAUUUUGCUUCCUAUUGUGAUUCCUAUUUCAUUGAGCUUUUUCCAAGAACCUAAAGAUCCAACAGAAGAGGCUCUUUUACCUGAGCUACAGAAACAAGAAGCUGGAAAAUCUGAACCUGAUGCCCCUGAGGUAAUAUUCAGUGAGGUGGAAGAUGAGAAGCCCAAGGAAGUAGACUUGCUUCCAGCAUUAGAAAGGCAAAAGCGAAUUGCACAGUUGCAAGCCAAACUAUUCCAAGCAGCUGCAGAAGGAGCAGUGAGGGUCAAAAGGAGAAGAGGGCCGCAUAGAGGUGAGGAUUUCACCUUGAUGCAGGCACUGAUUAAGGCAGAUUUCUGGCUUAUUUUUGUCUCACUUUUGUUGGGUUCUGGAUCUGGGCUGACUGUGAUUGAUAACCUGGGUCAAAUGAGCCAGUCUCUAGGGUAUGAUAACACACACAUAUUUGUGUCCAUGAUCAGCAUCUGGAACUUUCUUGGCCGUAUUGGCGGGGGUUAUUUUUCUGAGGUUAUUGUGAGGGACUAUGUUUAUCCAAGGCCAGUGGCAAUGGCUGUUGCACAACUCAUUAUGGCUAUUGGGCAUGUGUUCUUUGCUUUUGGGUGGCCUGGGGCAAUGUACAUUGGUACUUUACUGAUUGGCUUAGGCUAUGGAGCUCAUUGGGCAAUUGUGCCAGCUGCUGCAUCAGAGUUGUUUGGCUUGAAAAAGUUUGGGGCUUUGUACAAUUUCCUCACUCUAGCAAAUCCUGCAGGUUCUCUUGUCUUCUCUGGUCUAAUUGCAAGCAGCAUUUACGACAGAGAAGCUGAAAGGCAAGCUCAAGAGCACCAUCACCACAAGUGGAAUGCAGGAUCAACCUUUUCUCGCUUUCAUCUGGAUGAACCACUGAAGUGUGAAGGUGCUGUAUGCUACUUCCUUAGUUCCAUGAUUAUGUCAGGCUUUUGCAUUAUUGCAUUUGUCUUGAGCAUGAUUCUUGUGCAUCGGACUAAGAUCGUCUAUGCAAACCUCUAUGGAAAAUCUCGUACUUGAUUUUGGGAAGAGAACUAAACCAGGCUCUUAUAACUAGAGUACUUCAUCCAUUUUACAGUGGUGUUUGUAUACUCCAAGCAAGGUUUUUAGAAAUUCUUAAUGUUUUUUUUUCUUGGCACACAUUGCUAGAAGACAGAAAAGUGAAGCAUACUCCAGAGGAACUCUCAACUGAAGUCUCUGUUUUUCGUUUACUUUUUAUAUAUAAUAUUUGUAACCUGGGUGCAGCCAUUUAGUCACAGGAGAUUAGCUUUGGAAUGUUGGAAUAUUGUAUAUUUUUUUCAUAUUCUAUUUGCAGAAUCAAUCUAUUUUUUUGCUUCAGUCUUUUCAAAUUUUGUUGGGAUUGAAUGAAGCAUGCUUAUUCUAAUGUUUCUUUUUCAAG